Molecule: ribosomal RNA, 427 nt
Filed under: uncultured bacterium
Lineage: Bacteria
Description: partial 16S ribosomal RNA
Rfam family: Bacterial small subunit ribosomal RNA
Source: RNAcentral
GUGGGGAAUAUUGGGCAAUGGGGGCAACCCUGACCCAGCGACGCCGCGUGAGGGAAGAAGGCCUUAGGGUCGUAAACCUCUGUUGUGUGGGAAGAAGAGCGUGACGGUACCACACGAGGAAGUCCCGGCUAACUACGUGCCAGCAGCCGCGGUAAUACGUAGGGGACGAGCGUUGUCCGGAUUUACUGGGCGUAAAGGGCGCGUAGGCGGUCAUUUAAGUCAGCUGUGAAAUGGUGCGGCUUAACCGCAUCAUGCGGUUGAAACUGGAUGACUGGAGUGCUGGAGAGGCAAGUGGAAUUCCCAGUGUAGCGGUGAAAUGCGUAGAUAUUGGGAAGAACACCGGUGGCGAAGGCGACUUGCUGGCCAGCAACUGACGCUGAGGCGCGAAAGCCAGGGGAGCAAACGGGAUUAGAUACCCUUGUAGUCC